CUGAACAAAAACAAAGAAAACAGUAGAUGGGGACACUGUUAGAAUCAGAAGACAAUGUUAAAUAUAAAUAUUGAGGCUUAUUAGUACCAACAUAUAAAUAUUAUAAAAUUUCCUGUGAAUAGCCGCUUUCCUCCUGCAAUCACAGGACCAGUCUGAGUGAGAAUCUCGUACUCCCACCCCCCCUGUAGACCGGUGGGGGUUAUCCCGGUCCCGUGCGUUCCUAAC
Non-coding RNA from Pelobates cultripes (western spadefoot toad), 225 nucleotides. The record is from the annotation of a GenBank genome assembly. NCBI's taxonomy places the organism in Eukaryota, Metazoa, Chordata, Amphibia, Anura, Pelobatidae.